This 267-nucleotide unclassified non-coding RNA is filed under the name uncultured bacterium. RNAcentral's name for it is "contains 16S-23S intergenic spacer region". The record is from RNAcentral.
UUGUUCUCGCCGUCGCGGACGCUGAAAAAGCCGUCGGGCUCGGAGAGCGGGAACGCGCGCAGCACGCUCACCUUCAGAUGGGAACGGUCGUGUUCGACAGUGAGGCGCAGGGUGGCGCCAUGCUUGAAGAAGCGCAGCGUGCUCAAAUCGAGGAAGACCAGUUGCGCGGCCUCGACGAGGGAGGCAGUGGUUUUGGUUUCUGCGUCAACCAUCGGUCAGCAAUUGAUUGAGUUUUUCAUCCAGGCACCCAUGUUAACAGGUUGCUAC